Molecule: RNA transcript, 4370 nt
Organism: Homo sapiens (human)
Lineage: Eukaryota; Metazoa; Chordata; Mammalia; Primates; Hominidae
Gene: TMEM231
Gene name: transmembrane protein 231
Exons: 7
Source: RefSeq, marked reviewed
AAACUUGGUCCCCCGGCUCGCGGAGUGCCUGCGAGCGGUGCUCAUGGCGCUCUAUGAGCUCUUCUCUCACCCGGUCGAGCGCAGUUACCGCGCGGGGCUCUGCUCCAAAGCCGCGCUGUUCCUGCUGCUGGCCGCUGCGCUCACGUACAUCCCGCCGCUGCUGGUGGCCUUCCGGAGCCACGGGUUUUGGCUGAAGCGGAGCAGCUACGAGGAGCAGCCGACCGUGCGCUUCCAACACCAGGUGCUGCUCGUGGCCCUGCUCGGACCCGAAAGCGACGGGUUCCUCGCCUGGAGCACGUUCCCCGCCUUCAACCGGCUGCAAGGGGAUCGCCUGCGCGUCCCGCUCGUUUCGUGGAGGAGAUAAUGCCUGUUGUGUACAGCAAGACAGUGGGUCAUUGUGUAUUUACAGAAGUGAUGUGGAUUCCUCCCAGACUCAUUAGUGACCAGGGCUGCUGGGCCUGUUUGGGUUUCCUAGACUAGAGAAGAAGACAGGAACCAGGAUGGGAAGACGGACAUGUUACAUUUUAAGCUGGAGCUUCCCCUGCAGUCCACGGAGCACGUUCUCGGUGUGCAGCUCAUCCUGACUUUCUCCUAUCGAUUACACAGGAUGGCGACCCUCGUGAUGCAGAGCAUGGCGUUUCUCCAGUCCUCCUUUCCUGUCCCGGGAUCCCAGUUAUACGUGAACGGAGACCUGAGGCUGCAGCAGAAGCAGCCGCUGAGCUGUGGUGGCCUAGAUGCCCGAUACAACAUAUCCGUGAUCAACGGGACCAGCCCCUUUGCCUAUGACUACGACCUCACCCAUAUUGUUGCUGCCUACCAGGAGAGGAACGUUACCACCGUCCUGAAUGAUCCCAACCCCAUCUGGCUGGUGGGCAGGGCCGCAGAUGCUCCAUUUGUGAUUAAUGCUAUCAUCCGAUACCCUGUGGAAGUCAUUUCUUAUCAGCCAGGAUUCUGGGAGAUGGUAAAGUUCGCCUGGGUGCAGUAUGUCAGCAUCCUGCUUAUCUUCCUCUGGGUGUUUGAAAGAAUCAAGAUCUUCGUGUUUCAGAAUCAGGUGGUGACCACCAUUCCUGUGACAGUGACGCCCCGGGGAGACUUGUGUAAGGAGCACUUAUCCUAGAAAGGCCAUUUCUGAAGACUCAGCAGGACCGUGGCUGCCUCAUUGUCAUCUUCUGGGAACAUCUUAGGACCUUUUGAAAGAGCCCAGCGGACACCUGCGGGCUUGUGUGCUUUUCCCUCAGAGACAACGGUUCUUUCCGGUUUUGCUCUACACAGUUCCGUAUCUUCAGAGCUCCUGCAGAAUUGUCAGGGACUAGUUUGUGGAAAGGUCUGAGAGUUCCUGGAGGCUAUAAUUAGCUUUUUGGGUUUUCCUUCUUUGCCUUAGCGUUGAAUUUCAGGAGAAAAUUGCAGUCAGUUCAGACAUCUUGGAAAGAGUCCCAUCUCUGGUCAAGCAGAGACUUUUCCUCUGUUGAACUGAGGAACACACUGUGCAUUUCUACCUUCUGUUGUGAGCCACUCUUACUCUUUUCAGGGCUCUCUUGUGACAAACAUGCCAAUCACUAGCACUUUGCACCCCUGGGCUUCUCCAUUUCCCAUUCACAGCUUUGAUUUCCAGAGCUGAGGCCUUUAACUGGAGACCUGGAGGGGCAGGGCCCAAGGGCAAGGGCCGCAUUAGCACAGGCAAUCAGGGAGGGCCGCUGAAGGACACUUGGACCGUCCACCUGCCCCAGCCCAACAGUCAGUCAUCUGUCAUCAGCUCAGCUGAGCAGCCCUGGAUCUUUGCCGUACUGUGACUGGGCUCUUUGCCCUAUUUUUCCCUCUGUCUGUGCCCCUGGAUGGCAGGCUGAAGUCAGAGGGGCUGUUUCAUUCUCAGCCCCCUCAGCAGCACUGGGGGAAGAAAGCAUUGUCACAACAGGUUCUUUCUGGCCCUCACCCAACAGCCUGGGCACUUGGCCCUCCUCCUCCUUGACAGCCCUCCCCCUUCCUGCAAAGGACAGGGGCGACAGGGGUUGGUGUUGGGAUUGGCUCCCGCUGCCUGACAACCACAAGUUUAUUUGGAAGGCUAGCGGGAAGCCCAGCGGCUGGCGUUUCCCUUGACUAAGGAACAGGGUGCCCAUCAGAGUGGGGCGGGCAGCUUUGGGAAGGACACAAGAAGCAGUAAGAGUGUAAAGAGGAUGCUGGCCUGGGCAGGCCAGUCCAGCCUGGCCACUAGCAGAAUACCAAGCAGUCCAGUGGAUUACCCUCGUGGCUAAGCAAGUGUCUGCAGGAGCAGAGAUGGCUGGAAGGGGCCUCUGCACACGGAAGAUGGCUUGUUCAGCCCAUUCACCUCCUGAGGAUGUGGGCAGUCUCCUCCAAGAACACAUGGAGCUGCUUCCUGAUCCCAAGCAGGUCAUUGCCACUGGAAGGACAUGGCCCCGGUGAUCCAUGCUUCAUGCCCACCCAGAAACACACCCCUCAGUGUGUGCCUCAGUUUACUUUGGAGAUCAGUUGUCGUUUUUAGUGCUCCUUUAGGCUUACUAAAACAGUUUUGGAAACAAAGCUAUUUUGAAGUAUUCAAGCAGAGGAAUUCCCUAACACUGACCCCCUUGUCUUUUUUUAAUAUUCAGGCUGUUUUAUAUGCCUAAAUUUUUUUCUUAAGAUCUAAACGAAAAAUAGUUUCUUGUUUAAAUUCACAUAAGGCAAUGAGAUAUGGAAAGAUGACAAGAUACGUAUAAACAUUGGUUUGCAUUUUAUUAAAUUAUUCUAAUGCAAAUCUUGUAUAAAGAACCCAUGAUGUUUUGUAACUUUCUAAUUAAAAUGUUCAAAAUGAGGCCGAGCAUGGUGGUUCAUUCCUGUAAUCUCAACACUUUGGGAGGCCAAGGUGGGAGGAUCACUUGAGCCCAGGAGCUUGAGGCUGCAGUGUGCUAUGAUUGCACCACUGUACUGUAGCCUGGGUGACAGAGUGAGACCCUAUCUGUUAAAAUAAAUAAAUAAAUAAAUAAAAAAGUCAAAAUGGAAGAUCACAUGUACCUUUUUCGAGGGAAAGGGUUUGGAAUGGCAAAGAAUAGGGAGGGCAGAGGUUGCACACACCUGUCUUUAUUACUCAUCUACAGCCAUGCUUUACAAGGCUCUGCCUAACGACCUUGGAACUUCCAUGAGGUCUUUGGUGAAAGUCCCCUAGUUCUUCCCCAGGUAGAUGAGUUUUCAGUGGGAUUCACAUGCCAUGUGAAAUCUACGUGUUGGAUAAUUAUGACUGUGUCUGGUGAAUAUGAAAUUAUUUACAGACCAGAUGUUGAUAGUUUCUGACUCUGAAUCACAGCAUAGCUGCAAGAGGUAAAUAAAAAGCAAGAGGCCGGGAGCGGUGGCUCACGCCUGUAAUCCCAGCACUUUGGGAGGCCGAGGUGGGUGAAUCACAAGGUCAGGAGAUCGAGACCAUCCUGGCCAACAUGGUGAAACCCCAUCUCCACUAAAAAUACAAAAAUUGGCUGGGUGUGGCGACACGUGCCUGUCAUCCCAACUAUUUAGUAGGCUGAGGCAGGAGAAUCGCUUGAACCCUGGAGGCGGAGGUUGCAGUGAGCCGAGAUUGCGCCACUGCACUCCAGCCUGGCAACAGAGCUAGACUCCGUCUCAAAAAAAAAAAAAAAAAGAAAUAUAGAGGAUUUUAUUAACUCAGCUCCGACCCAUAGCUAAGUUAAGGUUUGAUGUUAUUACUGAAUAUUUGGAGGCAGAAAGACUCCUGAUUUUGCCAAAUGAUUAGUACAGUUUCGGCUUAAGUCAGAUGAGGCCCCCCUAAUAUUCCAUCAUGUAAGGCUAAUAAAGCAAUUAUUUCUUUUUUUUUUUUCCUUCCAACUUUUAUUGUAGACUCAUGGGGUAUAUGUAUGGGUUUCGUAUAUAGCUAAAUUGUACAACCUGGGGGUUUGGUGUACAGAUUAUUUCAUCACCCACGUAAUAAGCAUAGUACCCAGUAGGUGGUUUUUCUUUUCUUUUUCUUUUUCUUUUUUUUUUUUUUUUUUGAGACAGAGUCUCACUCUGUUACCCAGGCUGGAGUGCAGCAGCAUGAUCUCAGCUCAUUGCAGCCUCUACCUCCCAGGUUCAAGUGAUUCUCCUGCCUUACCCUCCCGAGUAGCUGGGAUUACGGGUGCCCACCACCAUGCCCGGCUAAUUUUUGUGUUUUUAGUAGAGACAGGGCUUCACCCUGGUGGUCAGGCUGGUCUCGAACUCCUGACCUCAAGUGAUCCAUCCGCUUUGGCCACCCAAAGUGCUGGGAUCACAGCAGUUUGAUCACAGAAGUUAUUAUGGUUGGCAUUCUGGCACACAUCUUUCUAAUCUUUUUUGUUGUAUGUAACCUUUUUAGUAUCACAAACAACACUUUUAUAAACCUUGUGUAGAAAUCA